This 1941-nucleotide long non-coding RNA is filed under the name Manacus vitellinus (golden-collared manakin). Its description in RNAcentral is "lncRNA (ENSMVIG00005005324.1)". The record is from RNAcentral. Lineage: Eukaryota; Metazoa; Chordata; Aves; Passeriformes; Pipridae.
GGGACCCAGGCUCACACCAGCUACCCGAGGACUGGAGAGGUCUGUGAGUGCUUCCCCCUCCUGCAGGCUGUCCUGCCUUGUUGGCUUGCAGUAAAUUACCAGUAAAGGCACAAAGAAGGAUUGUUUGGAGGUGUUCUGUUGCUCCUGUGUUGGCUGCUACAAAAUUUAGAAUUAUUUCCAGUUUUGAGUUCAAGCAAAAAGAAAAAUAACAAAGCAAUCCUUCCACAACCAAAAUAGAACCCGAACCCCUGGCAGCACACAGCUCUGCUGUCCCCAAAUGCUGCUGGUCAGAGAGAUCUGCAAGUGCCUUUAAAAGCCUGUUAUAGCUUAAGUUUUAAUGUUUAUUCAUUACAGUUUUUAUUUGGGCACAAUUUAGCCUAGCAUUGUAAAUCUUAUUAGCUGCUGGCUUUAAUUGUCAGGAAUUGUACAAAGAUGUUGCUAUUUUGCUAAUUAAAGUCUCUCCAAGUGCACAGCAUCAGGCCUUGGGCUCUUCUGCUAAUUGCACUGAGCUUUCUACCUGUUAGUUUAUUUGGCUAAAUAUUAUCAAAAGGCUUUGAUAAUUAACAACUAUUCACGAAAAGUGCUUGUCACUACCCUCUCAGAUUGCAUGUUUCCGGACCAGGAGGCUGAAGUUUUAUUCCCUAAAACAGCAUAUUAACAUGCCAAGCAGGACAACUGAAAGAAAGAAGAAUGAAGGUGAAGAUUUUGGUGCUCUAGAAGUAAGGCAGAACCUUGGUUUUGUCAGAGCACUGGGCUGGCACUGGGUGGGAGCACGUUCAGAUCUCAGCUCUCCAGCAGUCUCCUUACGUGGUGUUGUACAGAUGGCUUCGGUUCUGUGCAAGAAAAAUCGAGCAGCAGGAGCGCUGAAGGCUUUCCUGACUGAUGGGUUCAUUCAGGACGUCUUGGAGCAGCGAUCGGUCUGUGCCGGGAUAUUUUUAUAAUCCUACCUAUUGAUCUUCUGAAGAGCUGUUGUGUUUGAAAUAAUUAUUUCAAAGAAAGAUGGAAGAAAAAGCAAGAUCAUCUUUGCACAAGAGCUUUUUUCAUCACCUAAAUAUAUUCACUGUAGAAACAUCUCCCUCAAAAGAGGUGAAGAUCAUUCCCAGCAUCCCGGGCUGCUGUUUUUCUGCUCCAUCUGCCAGAAGUUUUGCAGCUGGUACAAUUCAUUAAUUCUGUUCAAUCUGUGUUCUCUCAAACCAGCAAUGAAUUUGAUAAUCAGCGUGCUGGGUUUUAAACAUACGGUUUUCUUUCUACUCUGAGCUACUCACUGAGUAUUAACGUGCAACACAGCAGCUUUUUCCAGGGCUUUCUCUGGAGAGACACAGCAGCAUAUGGAUGCUGUGAUGGAAUCUCCAUCUCCUUGGUAGGAAACUGUUUAGUGCUGGUAGUGGAGCCUGUUAACAUCCAGAGAGCUGAUGCUGGGAGGGACUGGCCCAGCAGUGAUAGAAGGAGAUGGUGCUGCGCUUGAGACUUGUUGAGCAAUGAAUUUGAGUGGCCCAGCUCAGUUCUUGGCUACUUGGCUUGAAUUUUGUUGAUCAAACAGCACUAAGAGGGAGCCAGUUCUAAAAUCAUCUUGAAGGGAAAACCCCACACUUGCCAAGAUGGCCCAGGGCAUCAGAGCAGACUGGGAAAGAGAUUGAGAGGAGGGAAGAAUUUGUAACAGGGAACAGGGACAGGGGUGUAGGGAUGAGGAAAAGUUACAGGGGCAGUGGGAAUGAUCAGUGAUAGGGAAACCUGCGAAGUCCAAAGAGAGAAAAGCACGUGCCAGGAAAAAACCUAUAUAAACUUGCAUAGAUGCAAGUGUGGAAACAGGGAAAUACAGGCAUUUAUGACCAUCUCCAUAACACUUUAUACCAUUGUUACAACCUCCAAAAGCAUACUGCCUACCUGUUCUUCUAAAAAUUACCAUUUUCUGGCAAAAGCUCCUUAUACAUAAUUCAUGUA